This 1135-nucleotide long non-coding RNA is filed under the name Felis catus (domestic cat). RNAcentral describes it as "lncRNA (ENSFCAG00000048287.1)". Lineage: Eukaryota; Metazoa; Chordata; Mammalia; Carnivora; Felidae. The record is from RNAcentral.
AUUUGGCUCAGGUUAAUCAGAAUUACGCUGUCACCCAUUCAAUCAGGCAGUGCUCCCUGUGAAGGUGUAAAGGCAAGACUCAAAUCCAUGGUUCUCCAUUGGAAGUGAUCCUGCUCCCUGUCUAUCACCCAGGGGAUAUUUGGUGAUACCUGAGAAAGGAUUGGUUGUCACAAAUGGGGGAGUGCUACAGGCAUCUAGUAGGUGUAAGCCAGGGAUGCUGCUAAACAUCCUACAAAGCACAAGACAGUCCACAAAACAAAGGGUUAUCUGGUCUAAAAUGUCACUGGUGCCAUCCAUGGUUGACAAAUCCUAAGCUAAGCUUACGGAAGGGACUAACAUGGAGUAGGAAGCAUUUUCUCUGAAAGUAGACAGAUUCCCUACAAGAAGGAAGAGGGAUGAUGCUGACUACAUUUACUCAGUUCCUGCAUCAAAACUUAUCAGAUAAUUUGUUCAUCUUUCCCUGGUCAGGAAAUAAAGAAGAAGCCAAGAAGGCCAAGGUUGUGUUGCAGUAAUUACUGUCCCUCAACAGAGGAACACAAGGUGAAGAGAAAGGUGACUCUGCACGCUAACACUUAUUUACAUAAUGUGAUUUGUUCAGAUUUUCAAAUCGAUUCUCAUGGCAUAGGACCAAGAUAAUUUGACUUUGUAUCAUACAUACAUAUUUGUUUAAUUCAUGCUCAGAAGAAUAAUGAACCUUUUAUUUACAUUUAGGUCUAUCACACGGAAAGGAGUGACCAGUUGCAAUGGAACAGAAUAUAUGCCCACCUAUAAGAAGAUGGAAUUGUUUGUGAGGAUGUGGUGGGAGCACAAAACUAGUCAAAGACUGUUCCAGAAAGGAAGAUGAAGAUUUCAUAGUAGGGUACAAGAGAGGGAAGUAUUAGCUGUGUCAUUCCUAAUUAGCUCUGUAAAUAGCUGUUUCCAGUGGAUGAUGCAUAAUAUAUUUUUUAAUUUUUUUUGUUUAUUUCAUAUUUGAGAGAGAAAGAGAGAGAAGAAAGCAAGUAGGAGAGGGCAGAGAGACAGAGACAGAAUCUGAAGCAGGCUCCAGGCUCCCAGCUGUCAGCAUAGAGCCCGACGUGGGGCUCGAGCUCACCAGCAGUGAGAUCAUGACCCGAGCUGAAGUCGGAAGCCCAACCAA